Molecule: ribosomal RNA, 818 nt
Filed under: Arthrobacter sp.
Lineage: Bacteria; Bacillati; Actinomycetota; Actinomycetes; Micrococcales; Micrococcaceae
Description: bacterial SSU rRNA
Rfam family: Bacterial small subunit ribosomal RNA
Source: RNAcentral
CAUGCAAGUCGAACGAUGACCUCACUUGUGGGGGGAUUAGUGGCGAACGGGUGAGUAACACGUGAGUAACCUGCCCUUGACUCUGGGAUAAGCCUGGGAAACCGGGUCUAAUACUGGAUACGACCUUCUGGCGCAUGCCAUGUUGGUGGAAAGCUUUUGUGGUUUUGGAUGGACUCGCGGCCUAUCAGCUUGUUGGUGGGGUAAUGGCCUACCAAGGCGACGACGGGUAGCCGGCCUGAGAGGGUGACCGGCCACACUGGGACUGAGACACGGCCCAGACUCCUACGGGAGGCAGCAGUGGGGAAUAUUGCACAAUGGGCGCAAGCCUGAUGCAGCGACGCCGCGUGAGGGAUGAAGGCCUUCGGGUUGUAAACCUCUUUCAGUGGGGAAGAAGCCGGCUCUUCGGGUUGGUGACGGUACCUGCAGAAGAAGCGCCGGCUAACUACGUGCCAGCAGCCGCGGUAAUACGUAGGGCGCACGCGUUAUCCGGAAUUAUUGGGCGUAAAGAGCUCGUAGGCGGUUUGUCGCGUCUGCCGUGAAAGUCCGGGGCUUAACCCCGGAUCUGCGGUGGGUACGGGCAGACUAGAGUGCAGUAGGGGAGACUGGAAUUCCUGGUGUAGCGGUGAAAUGCGCAGAUAUCAGGAGGAACACCGAUGGCGACGGCAGGUCUCUGGGCUGUAACUGACGCUGAGGAGCGAAAGCAUGGGGAAGCGAACAGGAUUAGAUACCCUGGUAGUCCAUGCCGUAAACGUUGGGCACUAGGUGUGGGGGACAUUCCACGUUUUCCGCGCCGUAACUAACGCAUUAAGUGCCCCGCC